RNAcentral lists this ribosomal RNA (466 nucleotides) under uncultured bacterium. RNAcentral's name for it is "partial 16S ribosomal RNA". It matches the Rfam family "Bacterial small subunit ribosomal RNA", at positions 28 to 507 of the family's 1533-position model. The record is from RNAcentral.
GACGAACGCUGGCGGCGUGCUUAACACAUGCAAGUCGAACGGUAAGGCUCCAGCUUGCUGGGGUACACGAGUGGCGAACGGGUGAGUAACACGUGGGUGACCUGCCCUGCACUUCGGGAUAAGCCUGGGAAACUGGGUCUAAUACCGGAUAGGAUCCUGGUGUGGAUACUGUGGUGGAAAGUUUUUUCGGUGUGGGAUGGGCCCGCGGCCUAUCCGCUUGUUGGUGGGGUAAUGGCCUACCAAGGCGGCGACGGGUAGCCGGCCUGAGAGGGUGGACGGCCACAUUGGGACUGAGACACGGCCCAGACUCCUACGGGAGGCAGCAGUGGGGAAUAUUGCACAAUGGGCGGAAGCCUGAUGCAGCGACGCCGCGUUGGGGAUGACGUCCUUCGGGUUGUAAACUCCUUUCACCAUCGACGAAGGGUUUCUGACGGUAGAUGGAGAAGAAGCACCGGCUAACUACGUG